UACGUAGGUGGCAAGCGUUGUCCGGAUUUACUGGGCGUAAAGAGCGCGCAGGCGGUCGUUCAAGUCGCGUGUGAAAGCCCCCGGCUCAACUGGGGAGGGUCACGCGAUACUGAUCGACUCGAAGGCAGGAGAGGGAAGUGGAAUUCCUGGUGUAGCGGUGAAAUGCGCAGAUAUCAGGAGGAACACCGGUGGCGAAGGCGGCCUUCUGGACAGCCACUGACGCUGAGACGCGAAAGCGUGGGGAGCAAACGGG
This 253-nucleotide ribosomal RNA is filed under the name uncultured bacterium. RNAcentral describes it as "partial 16S ribosomal RNA". It matches the Rfam family "Bacterial small subunit ribosomal RNA", at positions 524 to 776 of the family's 1533-position model. The record is from RNAcentral.